This 395-nucleotide ribosomal RNA is filed under the name uncultured bacterium. RNAcentral's name for it is "bacterial SSU rRNA". It matches the Rfam family "Bacterial small subunit ribosomal RNA", at positions 32 to 407 of the family's 1533-position model. The record is from RNAcentral.
AAUCAACGCUGGCGGCGUGCCUCAGACAUGCAAGUCGAACGCGAAAGUCCCCUUCGGGGGACAAGUAGAGUGGCGCACGGGUGAGUAACACGUAGGUAAUCUACCUUCGGAUGGGGAAUAACAACCGGAAACGGUUGCUAAUACCGCAUAAUGCAGCGGCACCUAAUGGUGACAGUUGUUAAAGCGGGGGAUCGAAAGACCUCGCGUCUGAAGAGGAGCCUGCGGCGGAUUAGCUAGNGGUAAGGUAAUGGCUUACCAAGGCGACGAUCCGUAGCCGGCCUGAGAGGGCGGUCGGCCACACUGACACUGACAUACGGGUCAGACUCCUACGGGAGGCAGCAGUCGGGAAUUUUGGGCAAUGGGCGAAAGCCUGACCCAGCAACGCCGCGUGAAGG